Long non-coding RNA from Mus musculus (house mouse), 1350 nucleotides. RefSeq annotates it as predicted gene, 39361. The transcript is spliced from 3 exons. The record is from RefSeq and is a predicted model, not a curated record. Lineage: Eukaryota; Metazoa; Chordata; Mammalia; Rodentia; Muridae.
UCCUUGGAGGGGCGGGCUGUGAAGGAGAAAGGAAGACAUCUUAUCUGGGGCCGCUGGGGCUGCUGGGCAUACCUUUCAGUCAGGAUCCUGAACUGCUUGAAGCUGAUAGGGUCUGGAAGGCUGGCCUAGGACUGUGGUGUCUGCGGCUGAUCUCACCAGACCUAUUCCUGGUGCCCCAUCUGUAAACUUGGCUGAGUCCCUGUGCCAUCACUAACUGGCUAUGACCUUGGGCAAGUUGCUCCCCCUAUUUCCUCUCUGAUAAACAUAUGGCUGGUUUGGGACCAGCCUGCAGGAUGCACUUCCUUUAUGACUUCAAGCAAUGGCUCAUUUGAGACCUCUGACCCAAAUUCAGUAGGAGAGUCCCUGCCAGGAUCAGUCAAUGAUGACUGUGAUGGCCAGGAAGAGGAGGUCUGAUGACAAAGGACCAUUUUUGCCAUCUUGGACUAGAUGAGUGGUAAGGUCCCUUUUAGCUUAUUCUUCACAAACUACUAGAAGUCAGGACAGCAUAUUCUGUGCAAGCUGCUCCAGGGGUCUGCUGCCCCUGAGCCUUUCCUUUCCUGCAGAAAGCAGGGAGGGAUCAAGUUUUGGCCAUACCCUUUGGGUCCCAGACACACAGAUUCCAAGUGGGGUCACAUUUUAUUGGAAUAGAUUUUACUGGAGACCUCUAGAGUGGCAAGCACAGAAGAGCUGCCCUGAUUUCCAGGCAAGAAAAAUAAUAUAGAGGGCCCCUCUAUCCCUCCAAGACUAUGUACCAGGCAACGUGCAAAAGACUUCCCAUGAGUAACACUGAGGUAGAGAAGGAAGAGAUGGACUGAGAAGGUUAGUUUAGGCGGUCCCCCUGUCAGCUGGCAGGAGGGUGGGGAAGGGCAGGCAGAACAACGGUACAAAUGGACACAUGAGGUAAUGGCCACAUGGUCCCUAUUCUAAAUGCAAGCUAGCUCUGUCCACGGACACUGGGUUACUUGGAAAGCCUGUGUGUCCCCUGCAAAUGGCAACACCAUGAAGCACCCAGAGCCCUGACCUGAGGAUGCAGGAGACAGGGAUGCUUGACCGGAGCAGUGCUUCAACCUCACCAUCAGACACACAUGUUGGAGCCUGAGGACCUGGGUGUGACUCUUAGCCUGACCAGGUCACUGCCAGAUGUCUCCUCCACUGCUGCUCUCUCCCACACAUCUGACUGAGAACACAAGAUAAACAUGGGAGUCGAGGGAGGAAAACACCACCCUGGCCGGGGAGGGGAGCCGUGGGACGGACUGCUGAGGAGUGAGGUCAAGUUUGAAGAAACCCGAAGCCCAGCAGACUCACUUUCUUUGCAUUUGUAACCUUGAAAUGCCAUCUGGGUGAUAUAUG